UCUUCUUAGUCACUACUUCCCACAGAGUUAACCAUUGCCAAGAUUAGCUUUAAUCUUUAAAAAUAACCUGAGAUUAGCUUUGCCUGUUCUGAAAAUUUACAUGCAUUUAAUUAGACGAUAUGCAUUAUUUGGAGUUUGGGAGUCUUCAGUUAUUGUGUAUAGCAGGGGCGGGUUUGUUCUCAUUGCUGUAUAUUUUACUGUACAACCGUGCCACUCAGUUAUUCAUUUUACUGAUGACAGAGACUUAAUUGGUUCCAGUUUGGGACUCUUAGGAAUAGUGCUGCUGUGAACAUUUGGCGAUGUGUCCCUUGAUGUACAUAUUUGUGUAUUUCUGGUGGGUAUAUACUGAGGAAUGGUAUGUGUAUGGUCAUAGGGUAUAUGUACCAUCAGCUUUAGUACCAGUAGAUACUGCCAAACGAUUGUCCAUAUUGAGCAUCUUCUUAAUGCUUUUUUUGUGGGGGUGAAGGGGGCAGAGUUUCACUCUUAUUGCACAGGCUGGAGUGCAAUGGCACGAUUUCUGCUCACUGCAACCUCCGCCUCCUGGGUUCAAGCAAUUCUCCUGCCUCAGCCUCCUGAGUAGCUGGGAUUACAGGCAUGUGCCACCACACCUGGCUAAUUUUAUAUUUUUAGUAGAGACAAGGUUUCUCCAUGUUGAUCAGGCUGGUCUUGAACUCCCGACUUCAGGUGAUCCGCCUGCCUUAGCCUCCCAAAGUGCUGGGAUUAUAGAUGUGAGCCACCAUACCUGGCCCCUAAUGCUUUUUAAGUCAUCUUACCUAUUUCACAUUUCCUUGAGAAUAGUGAGUCACUUAAUAUAUUUUUGACAGGUUGAACAAGGAAGUUUGUUCCUGGGAGAUAAAAAAGCUUGAGGUCGGCCUUGCGUGGUGGCUCACACCUAUAAUCCCACCACUUUGGGAGGUGGAGGUGGGAGGAUCAUUUGAGGACAAGAGUUCAAGACUGGCCUGGACACCAUAGUGAGAUCCUGUCUGUAUUAAAAAAAAAAAAAAGUACGGGGCCAUUUACUUUUUCUUUCUUCAAAUGAUGAGUAUCUUGGGAGACCUGUUUGCUUCUCUUGAGCCAGGUCAUCUUGGAACCAUGUCCACAGAGACAGGUGGACGUAGCAGCCUUAGCUCUUACUCUGAAAUGCCCCUUCUCAUGGGCGUCUUGCUAGUCCCUGCCACCACCUCCUUGUCAGCCCCAGGGACAGCCCUUCCAUUGCCUGCAGUGCAGCCCAGCUAAGCCAAACUGAUCACAAAAGCAAGAUUUUACUGAAGAAUCAGGAGAGCCAAAGGGCAGCCCACCCAGACAGCGCCAGUCACAGUUUACCAUGUAACAACUGGUUCAGGUCGAGUGCAGUGGCUCAUGCCUGUAAUCACAGCCCUUUGGGAGGCCAAGGCAGGAGGAUCACUUGAGGCCAGAAGUUCAAGACCAGCCUGGACAACAUACUGAGACCCCAUCUCUACAAAAAAUUUAAAAAUUAGCUGGGCUUGGUGUCAUACGCUUGUAGUCCUAGCUACUGGGAGGCUGAGGUGGAGGAUUGCUUGAGCCCAGGAGGUAAAGGCUGCUGCAAGCCAUGAUUGCGCCACUGCACUCCAGCCAGGGUGACAGAGUGAGACCAUGUCUU
Molecule: long non-coding RNA, 1621 nt
Filed under: Homo sapiens (human)
Lineage: Eukaryota; Metazoa; Chordata; Mammalia; Primates; Hominidae
Description: non-protein coding lnc-RHPN2-1:1
Source: RNAcentral